RNAcentral lists this transfer RNA (71 nucleotides) under Jonquetella anthropi. It matches the Rfam family "tRNA". From Rfam's summary of the family: Transfer RNA (tRNA) molecules are approximately 80 nucleotides in length. Their secondary structure includes four short double-helical elements and three loops (D, anti-codon, and T loops). Further hydrogen bonds mediate the characteristic L-shaped molecular structure. tRNAs have two regions of fundamental functional importance: the anti-codon, which is responsible for specific mRNA codon recognition, and the 3' end, to which the tRNAs corresponding amino acid is attached (by aminoacyl-tRNA synthetases). tRNAs cope with the degeneracy of the genetic code in two manners: having more than one tRNA (with a specific anti-codon) for a particular amino acid; and 'wobble' base-pairing, i.e. permitting non-standard base-pairing at the 3rd anti-codon position. The record is from RNAcentral. Lineage: Bacteria; Thermotogati; Synergistota; Synergistia; Synergistales; Dethiosulfovibrionaceae.
GGGAUAUAGCUCAGCUGGGAGAGCGCUUGAAUGGCAUUCAAGAGGUCAGGGGUUCGAUUCCCCUUAUCUCC